CCCCUCCCCCGGCGGCUGCGGCGGCGGCGGCGGCGGCGGCAGCAGCUCACUCAGCCGCUGCCCGAGCGGAAACGCCACUGACCGCACGGGGAUUACCAGCGCCGGCGCCAGGGGCACCUGGGACACGCCCCCUCCCGCCGCGCCAUUGGCCUCUCCGCCCACCGCCCCACACCCAUUGGCCAACUUGUUGCCAAUCAGCGGAAGCCGCCGGGGCCGCCUAGAGAAGAGGCUGUGCUCUGAGCUCCGGCUCCUCAGAGAGCCUCGGCUAGAUUAGGAUUACCGUCCCAUCUUUCCACAUUACCAUGGUGUAGGAGGCCCACUUCAAGCUGGAAAAGCAUCUAAAUAUGAAUAGUGACCCAAGAGAAAACAACAGAGAACUCAGGUGAAGUUUUUAAUUCAAAGAUAAAUCAGUCUGUCCUUUUAAGAAACCAAAAAUAUUUUGACAGGUUUAUGUUUGACUUUGAAAAGCAAUACCACUUGUGUACUGAAAAAUAAAAUCUUUAAAUUUGA
Molecule: long non-coding RNA, 510 nt
Organism: Eptesicus fuscus (big brown bat)
Lineage: Eukaryota; Metazoa; Chordata; Mammalia; Chiroptera; Vespertilionidae
Exons: 3
Source: RefSeq, a predicted model, not a curated record